This 1434-nucleotide ribosomal RNA is filed under the name uncultured bacterium. Its description in RNAcentral is "bacterial SSU rRNA". It matches the Rfam family "Bacterial small subunit ribosomal RNA". The record is from RNAcentral.
AGAGUUUGAUCCUGGCUCAGGAUGAACGCCGGCGGUGUGCCUAAUACAUGCAAGUCGUACGCACUGGCCCAACUGAUUGAUGGUGCUUGCACCUGAUUGACGAUGGAUCACCAGUGAGUGGCGGACGGGUGAGUAACACGUAGGUAACCUGCCCCGGAGCGGGGGAUAACAUUUGGAAACAGAUGCUAAUACCGCAUAACAACAAAAGCCACAUGGCUUUUGUUUGAAAGAUGGCCUUGGCUAUCACUCUGGGAUGGACCUGCGGUGCAUUAGCUAGUUGGUAAGGUAACGGCUUACCAAGGCGAUGAUGCAUAGCCGAGUUGAGAGACUGAUCGGCCACAAUGGAACUGAGACACGGUCCAUACUCCUACGGGAGGCAGCAGUAGGGAAUCUUCCACAAUGGGCGCAAGCCUGAUGGAGCAACACCGCGUGAGUGAAGAAGGGUUUCGGCUCGUAAAGCUCUGUUGUUGGAGAAGAACGUGCGUGAGAGUAACUGUUCACGCAGUGACGGUAUCCAACCAGAAAGUCACGGCUAACUACGUGCCAGCAGCCGCGGUAAUACGUAGGUGGCAAGCGUUAUCCGGAUUUAUUGGGCGUAAAGCGAGCGCAGGCGGUUGCUUAGGUCUGAUGUGAAAGCCUUCGGCUUAACCGAAGAAGUGCAUCGGAAACCGGGCGACUUGAGUGCAGAAGAGGACAGUGGAACUCCAUGUGUAGCGGUGGAAUGCGUAGAUAUAUGGAAGAACACCAGUGGCGAAGGCGGCUGUCUGGUCUGCAACUGACGCUGAGGCUCGAAAGCAUGGGUAGCGAACAGGAUUAGAUACCCUGGUAGUCCAUACCGUAAACGAUGAGUGCUAGGUGUUGGAGGGUUUCCGCCCUUCAGUGCCGGAGCUAACGCAUUAAGCACUCCGCCUGGGGAGUACGACCGCAAGGUUGAAACUCAAAGGAAUUGACGGGGGCCCGCACAAGCGGUGGAGCAUGUGGUUUAAUUCGAAGCUACGCGAAGAACCUUACCAGGUCUUGACAUCUUGCGCUAACCUUAGAGAUAAGGCGUUCCCUUCGGGGACGCAAUGACAGGUGGUGCAUGGUCGUCGUCAGCUCGUGUCGUGAGAUGUUGGGUUAAGUCCCGCAACGAGCGCAACCCUUGUUACUAGUUGCCAGCAUUAAGUUGGGCACUCUAGUGAGACUGCCGGUGACAAACCGGAGGAAGGUGGGGACGACGUCAGAUCAUCAUGCCCCUUAUGACCUGGGCUACACACGUGCUACAAUGGACGGUACAACGAGUCGCAAGCUCGCGAGAGUAAGCUAAUCUCUUAAAGCCGUUCUCAGUUCGGACUGUAGGCUGCAACUCGCCUACACGAAGUCGGAAUCGCUAGUAAUCGCGGAUCAGCAUGCCGCGGUGAAUACGUUCCCGGGCCUUGCACUCACCGCCCGUCA